This 468-nucleotide ribosomal RNA is filed under the name uncultured bacterium. RNAcentral describes it as "SSU rRNA". It matches the Rfam family "Bacterial small subunit ribosomal RNA", at positions 26 to 518 of the family's 1533-position model. The record is from RNAcentral.
AGGACAAACGCUGGCGGCGUGCCUAAGACAUGCAAGUCGGACGGGGGGGUUUCGGCCCCUUAGUGGCGGACGGGUGAGGAGCGCGUGGAGAACCUGCCCCGGGGUGGGGGAUACCAGCCAGAAAUGGCUGUUAAGACCGCAUACGACCAUCUGGUGUAGGCUGGGUGGGGAAAGCAGUGAUGUGCCCUGGGAGGGCUCCGCGUCGGAUUAGCUGGUUGGUGGGGUAACGGCCUACCAAGGCGACGAUCCGUAGCUGGUCUGAGAGGACGGCCAGCCACACUGGGACUGAGACACGGCCCAGACUCCUACGGGAGGCAGCAGUUAGGGAAUUUUGACAAUGGGCGCAAGCCUGAUCGAGUGACGCCGCGUGCGGGACGACGCCUUUCGGGGUGUAAACCGCUUUUCCCAGGGACGAGGAUGGACGGUACCUGGGGAAGAAGUCUCGGCUAACUACGUGCCAGCAGCCGC